GCUCGUCUCUUACCCAAUAUCUGCCCAAAAGAAAAUGAAAAAUGGGUUAAAAUAAGAGGGACGUAUACAAAAUAAGAAGUUUUCGACAAAGUCCUUGGGAGCACGUGGCAGAAGCGGAUAGGGAAACCAAAGGAGAAGACCAAAGUGGACUUUGGUCUCGAUUCAUUUUGUUCGGCUCCUUCUUCUCUCUCUCUCGACAACCCACACUGAUUUCGCGUUUAAUCGAAAACCUGACCGCCGAAUCGAAUCAACACCAGUUCAUUCUCGAGUCUCGGCCUCGUUUCUUAUCAUCUCCAUAUUCUCUCUCUCUCUCGACGGAGAUUUCGACCACAACCGUCUAUACUCGCUCACUCCACACGGAUCUCGCCUCGCUUGUGCUCCGAAUCGAAACAAAUCCAGCAAAGCAAAAAAUUCAUCUCCAUCAGAACAAAACACAGAGGAACAUGUCACUAUUGGAAGUGAGGAGAGAUACUUGCAGCUAUCAGAUGUGCGGAUUCCUUUGAUUUUUGUAAGUCACCUUAGUGAGAGUGCCAAGACUGGGAUGUUACUUCCUUGUGAUUUUAUUUUCAGACAUAAUGACGAUACAUUUCUUCUUCCUGGUGUUUAUGUUAAGAAGAGCAUCAGAUGAACCUAGAGGCCAUGCGGCGGCCAUAAUGAACGAGGUCUUACUCGAUGCAGAUUGCAAAGGAGUCAUAAACGGUUUUGUGUUGCAGGUGUUUUGCCUUGUUUUAAAUUUAUUUUCCUCUGGUGUUUGUGAAGAGUGUCAUUGUAAAGUGUGUGUCAUCAAAAUACUAAAAAAAUUACCUAAGGACUAAACUAAAGUCCCACCAAUAAUCUUAACAUUUUGUUGUGUUCUUCCACUUGUCUCUUAACAUCACACAUACUAAUAUAAUAAUCCUAAGGACUCAAAUUUUGUCCCACCAAUAAUGAUGGUCUAAAAGUCCUUCUAGUAUGUGAAGCGAUUUAGUCGGUACAAGAAUCCUGAUGCUGUUCGACAAGUUCGAGAGUAUCCUCUUUCUGAAUUUAGUUUACAAUCAUGUUUGCAUCUUUAUUGAGUAGACCUAGUAUUACAAGAAUGCAUUGAUUCUCUUUUUGAAAACCAUUUAUUUUCCUCUGGUGUUUGUGAAGAGUGUCAUUGUAAAGUGUGUGUCAUCAAAAUACUAAAAAAAUUACCUAAGGACUAAACUAAAGUCCCACCAAUAAUCUUAACAUUUUGUUGUGUUCUUCCACUUGUCUCUUAACAUCACACAUACUAAUAUAAUAAUCCUAAGGACUCAAAUUUUGUCCCACCAAUAAUGAUGGUCUAAAAGUCCUUCUAGUAUGUGAAGCGAUUUAGUCGGUACAAGAAUCCUGAUGCUGUUCGACAAGUUCGAGAUUCUGUGUUCUUGGCAAUCUCUGUCCUGAAACUGCUGAAGAAGCAGUGGCAAUGGUUCCUUCUCUCAAGACAAAAGGAAGAGCUCAUAGUGAUGAAGCAAUUGAGAAGAUGCUCUCAAGAUCUAAAGAUUAUAAACAUAUUUCAGGGUGCAACAUUCACCUUUCUAGCUGUUGAUGUCUGAGAGUUAGUUUUUUCAUGUCUAAAUUAUUAAAAAAGCUAACAUGGUCAGAAUCUCCGGAAUGAUAUCAUCAUGUUAAAUGAAUGUGAUUUACAAUGGCU
This is an RNA transcript of Raphanus sativus (radish), 1654 nucleotides long. RefSeq lists it as uncharacterized. The transcript has 5 exons. Lineage: Eukaryota; Viridiplantae; Streptophyta; Magnoliopsida; Brassicales; Brassicaceae. The record is from RefSeq and is a predicted model, not a curated record.